Long non-coding RNA from Mya arenaria, 1453 nucleotides. RefSeq lists it as uncharacterized. Lineage: Eukaryota; Metazoa; Mollusca; Bivalvia; Myida; Myidae. The record is from RefSeq and is a predicted model, not a curated record. The transcript has 6 exons.
AUACAGUGCAUCAGAAGGGACAGUACACACCAUCUUUCAUUCCCACCAUUCUUUGUGAAGAGGAAUCCAAAUGUUCUUUGGCCUGAUCGAGUUCUUAUGGGUGCCUUGAGCCAUCCUAGGAGGCAUCCCAAGUAACAACAUUAAGAACGUAUAAAUGUUUGAACUGUGCAGACUUCUUGUUGUGAGAAAAAAAGCCUGCAGCCAAUGAGAUAGAAAUGGAGAGAAGGGCAAUAGCAGCUUGCACACGUCAAGGAUCUGCAGCGCAUGAAACCCCUUAAACUGAAGAUGAUGUUCCUGAAGCCUAGAGAUGUCAGCACUCGCAGUCAGCCGCUUUAUCAUCCAUUGCUCCAUUAACCUCAUCCACCUGGUCAACACAAUUCAAACAUACCAGAUACAGACUCAGUUAAAACAGAUAUGGGUGCAAGUCAUGACACUUUUACAGAUUAAAGAUGUCCGAGAUUCACGAUGAAUGCUGUUUGAAGAAGAAUGAACAGAAUCACAUUUUAAUUUAAUCUCACUGCCAAUGUGGACUUAAAGAGGACGGGCUCUGUUAUGACAACUGUAUUUUUAAGUAACAGAGAUAAGGGUGUUAUUGGAAUCAUUUCAAUAAAAUAUGGGAGUACCGGUACAUACCAGUUUGAUAUCUUGAUUAGACUGGGACUUAAACUUAAACAAAAACGAUAGAUAUUGGACCUCUCUAAUACACAUUAUAAACAUCUCAUGUCUUAAGUCAAUAACAAAGCUGUAAUAAGGCGAUAUUUAGUGUAAUUAACACUUAGGGCUAUUCUCCUAAAACAUAUAACCACCGGGUUUGGCAGAUUUUUAAUAAUAUAUGGUUGGGCUUUUUUGCUAAUUUGCACCCCAAAAGGCACAUUUGCUUUUGUAUGGGGUUGGCAUAAAAACUUAAUAAAUGCCUUCCCUCCAGUGGUUAUAUUUUUAAAUGGACAAAAUAUCAAACUGGUAUGUACCUUAUCAACAUUUUUAGCUGGACUAUUUGAAUAAUAAGGAGGGUUAUACCACUCGCCUCAGCAUCUGCUUUGGCUUUAGCGUCCGGUUAAAGUUUAAGACCAAGUUGGGAUUUUCACUCAUAGGGAUUUUCACUCAUAACUGCAAAACCCUUCAUUAAAGUCACUUAAUACUCCAUACAGUUGUUCAGGGUCAUUACAUAAUGAGGUUAAUACUUCAAUAGCCUUCAUUCAAUGGACUUAAUACCUUGCACAAUUAAUGAUGAACAUCUUACAAUAAGGUGACAUAACUCCAUUUUAACUAAAUACAAAUUAUUGCCCUUUUUUCAUUUUUAUUUCUUAUGUCAGGCACAUUUAUAUAUUCUUAACAGGGUUUUUGAAAGCUAAUUGUUUGGGCGGGCUGGUGGAAGGGUCUUCAAAGUCACCUUAUGUGUAAAAUAAUUUUAGCUAGGUUUGACAUAUAGUGACCAAACUUCGUAUGUAGGAAG